Molecule: long non-coding RNA, 1362 nt
Organism: Mastomys coucha (southern multimammate mouse)
Lineage: Eukaryota; Metazoa; Chordata; Mammalia; Rodentia; Muridae
Exons: 5
Source: RefSeq, a predicted model, not a curated record
UGAACAAAAGUCAUCAGUUUCAGCAUGAGAAAGUUCUAUUUUAUGUUUGUCUGAGAUUCCUUCAGCUAAUGCUCUUGAAGUUAUAAAAGUCACAGGCUGCCCAAGAUUCCAAGGGAAUAUUGUCUACUAUCUUCUCAAACAAGGUGCCGAUUGAGACAGAGAAGGCAGUGGUGGUAGCACUCCUCUUCACCAUGCUGUCUGUGGGCAACCAGAGACAACUUAUGUACUUUGGAAACAAGGUGCUGUGAAUGAAGACAGAGAAGAAGUGUACAGUUCACUCAGCAAUGAAAUACAGGUGGCAUGUGCAGUGCGGGAGCCUGGAUAAGAAAGUUGUGAACUUAACUGUGAAUUAAGCACGGGGCAGAGUUGAAAAAGCUCUUCCCACAAAGCAUCUUUCUAAGUGCAGUUGUACAAACCGUGAUAACUCAAAGCUAUCACACUUUCAGUUAUCUUCAGUUGCACUUGAAAGCAAGGGUAUGAAGAGAGUGCCCCGACAUGUUCACGCUGUCUCUGUGGGAAAGUGGCAAAAGUGAGAAGUUCUUUGCACUACUCCUCAAUGCAAACUCCUCAAGUCUCCUAGUUACCCUGCUCAGAUCUUUGACAUGUCCUUCAGUCCAUCAAGACUUAGCCUCACUGCUUUGGGUGGCUCAACAGUGAAGAGUCAGUUUUGCAUGUAUAGAUGCUCAAGAAGUCCCUGAAUGAACAUACUGUUGAAAGAGGUGAUUGUUCUGGAUAACAUACACAUUUGGAGGGGAGGUUGCUCCGUCAGUUCAGCAGUCUCCAACACAGCUGAGUGGUCAGCAUUGCAGUGUGAUAACACAGGCAUGCACAUGACAGCAGCAUGAACUCCCUGUUCACAUUCGCAGAUAAGAGUAAGCACUUUCAAGAGCUCUCAUUCAAACAGUGGAGAAGAUGAAUUACAAGGUUUUCCAUCAUGAUUAUGUACCACUUUUAUCAUCAGAAAAAUAGCUAGUUACAUUUCAAGACCAUGUGUUAUGUUACAACACAAAGUCUACACAAAAUAUCAGUGACAGAGGGGAAAAUGCGGAAUUAUGAUUUGCUCUACGGCUUCCUGACUCUAAAGGGUGAGAAACAUCUGUGCAUUGUUGCUGUCUCUGUGCAAUUGCUCCUCAACUACAAGCAGAGCCUUUUUGAAGUGGGAGAUCUUUAUCAUACUUCCUGGUAUCUGGUGCAGAACACAACCCUUAGGAGAAAUUCAGCAUAGACUGUCUGAAUGCAGUUGCAAGAACUCAAACAAAAGCCGUUAUCAUCUGGCUCAGGCAGAAAAGACACUAACCAUGCCAGCCUGGAGACCUGAGUUCAAUUCCUGUAACCUAUAAAUAGUUAAGAAGGGAAAAGUGA